UGUUAAAAGUUUCAUCCGUUUCUAUUAUUAAAAACUGACAUUAACAAAAUAACUAGACAGUUACACAUGUCAUGCCAUGUGUACCUCAUUCUGACAUUCAAGGACCAAUUCUUAAUAGUAGAAAUUAAUGAAACUUUUAAUA
Molecule: non-coding RNA, 142 nt
Organism: Gossypium raimondii (Peruvian cotton)
Lineage: Eukaryota; Viridiplantae; Streptophyta; Magnoliopsida; Malvales; Malvaceae
Source: Rfam